AGUGAACGCUGGCGGUAGGCCUAACACAUGCAAGUCGAACGGCAGCACAGUAAGAGCUUGCUCUUACGGGUGGCGAGUGGCGGACGGGUGAGGAAUACAUCGGAAUCUACUUUUUCGUGGGGGAUAACGUAGGGAAACUUACGCUAAUACCGCAUACGACCUACGGGUGAAAGCAGGGGAUCUUCGGACCUUGCGCGAUUCAAUGAGCCGAUGUCGGAUUAGCUAGUUGGCGGGGUAAAGGCCCACCAAGGCGACGAUCCGUAGCUGGUCUGAGAGGAUGAUCAGCCACACUGGAACUGAGACACGGUCCAGACUCCUACGGGAGGCAGCAGUAGGGAAUAUUGGACAAUGGGCGCAAGCCUGAUCCAGCCAUACCGCGUGGGUGAAGAAGGCCUUCGGGUUGUAAAGCCCUUUUAUUGGGAAAGAAAAGCUGCAGGUUUAUACCCCGCUGUUCUGACGGUACCUAAAGAAUAAGCACCGGCUAACUUCGUG
Molecule: ribosomal RNA, 492 nt
Filed under: uncultured bacterium
Lineage: Bacteria
Description: partial 16S ribosomal RNA
Rfam family: Bacterial small subunit ribosomal RNA
Source: RNAcentral